RNAcentral lists this ribosomal RNA (206 nucleotides) under uncultured bacterium. RNAcentral's name for it is "partial 16S ribosomal RNA". It matches the Rfam family "Bacterial small subunit ribosomal RNA", at positions 568 to 774 of the family's 1533-position model. The record is from RNAcentral.
CGCGUAGGCGGGAUGGCAAGUCGGUCGUGAAAUACCUCGGCUCAACUGAGGAGCGUCGAUCGAACUGCCGUUCUUGAGGGUUGCAGAGGAGACUGGAAUUCCCGGUGUAGCGGUGAAAUGUGUAGAGAUCGGGAGGAACACCGGUGGCGAAGGCGGGUCUCUGGGCAACUCCUGACGCUGAGGCGCGAAAGCGUGGGGAGCAAACG